UACGUAGGGUCCGAGCGUUGUCCGGAAUUACUGGGCGUAAAGAGCUCGUAGGUGGUUUGUCGCGUUGUUCGUGAAAACUCACAGCUCAACUGUGGGCGUGCGGGCGAUACGGGCAGACUUGAAUACUGCAGGGGAGACUGGAAUUCCUGGUGUAGCGGUGGAAUGCGCAGAUAUCAGGAGGAACACCGGUGGCGAAGGCGGGUCUCUGGGCAGUAACUGACGCUGAGGAGCGAAAGCGUGGGGAGCGAACAGG
Molecule: ribosomal RNA, 253 nt
Filed under: uncultured bacterium
Lineage: Bacteria
Description: partial 16S ribosomal RNA
Rfam family: Bacterial small subunit ribosomal RNA
Source: RNAcentral